RNAcentral lists this ribosomal RNA (891 nucleotides) under uncultured Cenococcum. RNAcentral's name for it is "eukaryotic LSU rRNA". The stretch from base 515 to 891 matches the Rfam family "Eukaryotic large subunit ribosomal RNA", at positions 1 to 375 of the family's 3401-position model. Lineage: Eukaryota; Fungi; Ascomycota; Dothideomycetes; Gloniales; Gloniaceae. The record is from RNAcentral.
AUUCUUGGUCAUUUAGAGGAAGUAAAAGUCGUAACAAGGUUUCCGUAGGUGAACUGCGGAAGGAUCAUUACAGAAAGUAAACGCGGGUCAAACCGCGAACUUCUAAACCUUUGACGAUUGACUCAUGUUGCCUCGGCGGGUUCGCCCGCCAGAGGAUACAUCAAAACUCCUGUUUUAACGGUGUUGUCUGAGCUACAAGCAACGAAUCAAAACUUUCAACAACGGAUCUCUUGGUUCUGGCAUCGAUGAAGAACGCAGCGAAAUGCGAUAAGUAGUGUGAAUUGCAGAAUUCAGUGAAUCAUCGAAUCUUUGAACGCACAUUGCGCCCCUUGGUAUCCCGAGGGGCAUGCCUGUUCGAGCGUCAUUUCACCACUCAAGCCUGGCUUGGUGUUGGGCGACGUCCCUUUGGGACACGCCUCGAAACGCUCGGCGGCGUGGCACCGGCUUUAAGCGUAGCAGAAUCUUUCGCUUUAAAAGUCGGGGCCCCGUCUGCCGGAAGACCUACUCGCAAGGUUGACCUCGGAUCAGGUAGGGAUACCCGCUGAACUUAAGCAUAUCAAUAAGCGGAGGAAAAGAAACCAACAGGGAUUGCCUCAGUAACGGCGAGUGAAGCGGCAACAGCUCAAAUUUGAAAUCUGGCUCUUUCAGGGCCCGAGUUGUAAUUUGUAGAGGAUGCUUCGGCGUCGGCUCCGGUCUAAGUUCCUUGGAACAGGACGUCAUAGAGGGUGAGAAUCCCGUAUGUGAUCGGUUGCCGUUGCCAUGUGAAGCUCCUUCGACGAGUCGAGUUGUUUGGGAAUGCAGCUCUAAAUGGGAGGUAAAUUUCUUCUAAAGCUAAAUACUGGCCAGAGACCGAUAGCGCACAAGUAGAGUGAUCGAAAGAUGAAAAGAAUC